RNAcentral lists this transfer RNA (68 nucleotides) under Bacteroides sp. Its description in RNAcentral is "tRNA-Ser". It matches the Rfam family "tRNA". Rfam says of the family: Transfer RNA (tRNA) molecules are approximately 80 nucleotides in length. Their secondary structure includes four short double-helical elements and three loops (D, anti-codon, and T loops). Further hydrogen bonds mediate the characteristic L-shaped molecular structure. tRNAs have two regions of fundamental functional importance: the anti-codon, which is responsible for specific mRNA codon recognition, and the 3' end, to which the tRNAs corresponding amino acid is attached (by aminoacyl-tRNA synthetases). tRNAs cope with the degeneracy of the genetic code in two manners: having more than one tRNA (with a specific anti-codon) for a particular amino acid; and 'wobble' base-pairing, i.e. permitting non-standard base-pairing at the 3rd anti-codon position. Lineage: Bacteria; Pseudomonadati; Bacteroidota; Bacteroidia; Bacteroidales; Bacteroidaceae. The record is from RNAcentral.
AACGAUGUAGCUCAGUUGGUAGAGCACCGCCAGGAUAACGGACGGCGGUUCGAUUCCGCCCAUCGUUC